Molecule: ribosomal RNA, 505 nt
Filed under: uncultured bacterium
Lineage: Bacteria
Description: partial 16S ribosomal RNA
Rfam family: Bacterial small subunit ribosomal RNA
Source: RNAcentral
GACGAACGCUGGCGGCGUGCCUAAUACAUGCAAGUAGAACGCACAGUUUAUACCGUAGCUUGCUCCACCAUAGACUGUGAGUUGCGAACGGGUGAGUAACGCGUAGGUAACCUGCCUGGUAGCGGGGGAUAACUAUUGGAAACGAUAGCUAAUACCGCAUAAUAUUAAUUAUUGCAUGAUAAUUAAUUGAAAGGUGCAAUUGCACCACUACCAGAUGGACCUGCGUUGUAUUAGCUAGUAGGUGAGGUAACGGCUCACCUAGGCGACGAUACAUAGCCGACCUGAGAGGGUGAUCGGCCACACUGGGACUGAGACACGGCCCAGACUCCUACGGGAGGCAGCAGUAGGGAAUCUUCGGCAAUGGACGAAAGUCUGACCGAGCAACGCCGCGUGAGGGAAGAAGGUUUUCGGAUCGUAAAGCUCUGUUGUAAGAGAAGAACGGGUGUGAGAGUGGAAAGUUCACACUGUGACGGUAUCUUACCAGAAAGGGACGGCUAACUACGUG